Molecule: ribosomal RNA, 254 nt
Filed under: uncultured bacterium
Lineage: Bacteria
Description: partial 16S ribosomal RNA
Rfam family: Bacterial small subunit ribosomal RNA
Source: RNAcentral
UACGGAGGGUGCGAGCGUUGUCCGGAAUCAUUGGGCGUAAAGGGCGCGUAGGUGGCCCCUCAAGCGUGCGGUGAAAGUCAGGGGCUCAACCCCUGAUCGGCCGUGCGAACUGGGGAGCUUGAGCACUGUAGAGGCAGGCGGAAUUCCGGGUGUAGCGGUGGAAUGCGUAGAGAUCCGGAAGAACACCGGUGGCGAGGCGGCCUGCUGGGCAGUUUUGCUGGACACUGAGGCGCGACAGCGUGGGGAGCAACAGG